UUUAACUAAAUUAGACUACCAUUUCAUUUUGUUAUAUAUUUUUUUUUUCAUGUAGAAGCUCCACCAACACGUUAUAAUUCUAGACGUAAGUCAGUUUUUGCAGAAACAUACAAUCCAGAAGAAGAUGAAGAAGAAGAGGGACCAAAUGUUGUAUUUCCUAAAUCUGAUGAUCAACGUCAAGCACUUGCAGCUAGUGUUAAAAAUAUAUUCAUAUUCAGGGCCUUGGAUCCUGAACAAAUGAAU
Long non-coding RNA from Acyrthosiphon pisum (pea aphid), 243 nucleotides. RefSeq lists it as uncharacterized. NCBI's taxonomy places the organism in Eukaryota, Metazoa, Arthropoda, Insecta, Hemiptera, Aphididae. The transcript has 3 exons. The record is from RefSeq and is a predicted model, not a curated record.